UACAUGUGGGGCAAGCGUUGUUCGGAAUUACUGGGCAUAAAGGGUGCGUAGGUGGUUCGGUAAGUCAGUGGUGAAAUCCUGCGGCCCAACCGUAGAACUGCCAUUGAUACUGUCGGACUGGAGUGCGUGAGGGGUAGCCGGAACGAGUGGUGUAGCGGUGAAAUGCGUAGAUAUCACUCGGAAGGCCAAAGCCGAAGGGAGGCUACUGGCACGCAACUGACACUGAGGCACGAAAGCGUGGGGAGCAAACAGG
RNAcentral lists this ribosomal RNA (253 nucleotides) under uncultured bacterium. RNAcentral describes it as "partial 16S ribosomal RNA". It matches the Rfam family "Bacterial small subunit ribosomal RNA", at positions 524 to 776 of the family's 1533-position model. The record is from RNAcentral.